UCCUGGGCGCAGCUACACAUGCAGUCGAGCGGUAGAGAGAAGCUUGCUUCUCUUGAGAGCGGCGGACGGGUGAGUAAUGCCUAGGAAUCUGCCUGGUAGUGGGGGAUAACGUCCGGAAACGGACGCUAAUACCGCAUACGUCCUACGGGAGAAAGCAGGGGACCUUCGGGCCUUGCGCUAUCAGAUGAGCCUAGGUCGGAUUAGCUAGUUGGUGAGGUAAUGGCUCACCAAGGCGACGAUCCGUAACUGGUCUGAGAGGAUGAUCAGUCACACUGGAACUGAGACACGGUCCAGACUCCUACGGGAGGCAGCAGUGGGGAAUAUUGGACAAUGGGCGAAAGCCUGAUCCAGCCAUGCCGCGUGUGUGAAGAAGGUCUUCGGAUUGUAAAGCACUUUAAGUUGGGAGGAAGGGCAGUUGCCUAAUACGUAACUGUUUUGACGUUACCGACAGAAUAAGCACCGGCUAACUCUGUGCCAGCAGCCGCGGUAAUACAGAGGGUGCAAGCGUUAAUCGGAAUUACUGGGCGUAAAGCGCGCGUAGGUGGUUUGUUAAGUUGGAUGUGAAAUCCCCGGGCUCAACCUGGGAACUGCAUUCAAAACUGACUGACUAGAGUAUGGUAGAGGGUGGUGGAAUUUCCUGUGUAGCGGUGAAAUGCGUAGAUAUAGGAAGGAACACCAGUGGCGAAGGCGACCACCUGGACUAAUACUGACACUGAGGUGCGAAAGCGUGGGGAGCAAACAGGAUUAGAUACCCUGGUAGUCCACGCCGUAAACGAUGUCAACUAGCCGUUGGAAGCCUUGAGCUUUUAGUGGCGCAGCUAACGCAUUAAGUUGACCGCCUGGGGAGUACGGCCGCAAGGUUAAAACUCAAAUGAAUUGACGGGGGCCCGCACAAGCGGUGGAGCAUGUGUUUAAUUCGAAGCAACGCGAAGAACCUUACCAGGCCUUGACAUCCAAUGAACUUUCCAGAGAUGGAUUGUGCCUUCGGGAACAUUGAGACAGGUGCUGCAUGGCUGUCGUCAGCUCGUGUCGUGAGAUUGUUGGGGUUAAG
This 1051-nucleotide ribosomal RNA is filed under the name Pseudomonas tolaasii. Its description in RNAcentral is "bacterial SSU rRNA". It matches the Rfam family "Bacterial small subunit ribosomal RNA", at positions 34 to 1084 of the family's 1533-position model. The record is from RNAcentral. Lineage: Bacteria; Pseudomonadati; Pseudomonadota; Gammaproteobacteria; Pseudomonadales; Pseudomonadaceae.